UCCGAUAUGGUGUAGUGGUUAACAUCGUUCGCUCUCAUUAGGAUAUCAUCCGACUUGGACCGAACAGCCCCGGGUUCGAUUCCCGGUGUCGGAA
The sequence is a transfer RNA, 94 nucleotides long. It matches the Rfam family "tRNA". From Rfam's summary of the family: Transfer RNA (tRNA) molecules are approximately 80 nucleotides in length.